RNAcentral lists this unclassified non-coding RNA (220 nucleotides) under Pseudomonas japonica. Its description in RNAcentral is "Pseudomonas sRNA P29". The record is from RNAcentral. Lineage: Bacteria; Pseudomonadati; Pseudomonadota; Gammaproteobacteria; Pseudomonadales; Pseudomonadaceae.
AAACUACAAGGGGAGCCGAAGCUCCCCAAGAAGUAGUUGCGUGCUCUUAUUAUUUUUUUGUCGGGCUUCUUGUUUUUGUUGAGUGCCCUGACCACCCAAUGCCGUGAGGCUGGUGGACUGUCUCCCUAACCGGGAGUACAAGAGCAAACGGAUUGCUUUGAUCGCCGAUGUUGCGAUGAUCUAUCGAUCCAACCAGUUCAGGCUCUGCUAGAGUGCAGUU